GGGAGGCAGCAGUAGGGAAUCUUCCGCAAUGGGCGAAAGCCUGACGGAGCAACGCCGCGUGAGUGAAGAAGGUCUUCGGAUCGUAAAACUCUGUUAUUAGGGAAGAACAAAUGUGUAAGUAACUAUGCACGUCUUGACGGUACCUAAUCAGAAAGCCACGGCUAACUACGUGCCAGCAGCCGCGGUAAUACGUAGGUGGCAAGCGUUAUCCGGAAUUAUUGGGCGUAAAGCGCGCGUAGGCGGUUUUUUAAGUCUGAUGUGAAAGCCCACGGCUCAACCGUGGAGGGUCAUUGGAAACUGGAAAACUUGAGUGCAGAAGAGGAAAGUGGAAUUCCAUGUGUAGCGGUGAAAUGCGCAGAGAUAUGGAGGAACACCAGUGGCGAAGGCGACUUUCUGGUCUGUAACUGACGCUGAUGUGCGAAAGCGUGGGGAUCAAACAGGGAUUAGAUACCCUGGGUAGUCCACGCCGUAAACGAUGAGUGCUAAGUGGUUAGGGGGGUUUCCGCCCCUUAGUGCUGCAGCUAACGCAUUAAGCACUCCGCCCGGGGGAGUACGACCGCAAGGGUUGAAACUCAAAGGAAUUGACGGGGACCCGCACAAGCGGUGGAACCAUGGUGGUUUAAUUCGAA
This 629-nucleotide ribosomal RNA is filed under the name Staphylococcus sp. RNAcentral's name for it is "bacterial SSU rRNA". It matches the Rfam family "Bacterial small subunit ribosomal RNA", at positions 343 to 955 of the family's 1533-position model. Lineage: Bacteria; Bacillati; Bacillota; Bacilli; Caryophanales; Staphylococcaceae. The record is from RNAcentral.